AAGGAAGACAGUCCAGUAGCAGAGUAUCUCUGUGAUAAUCUUGUGAGGUGCUUCAGCCCUAUUUUGCACAGAAGACAAAAUCGAAGCUCAGAGAGGUUAUGGAACUACCCUUAGGGCACACCGUUAGCAAGUGGCGGGGUCAAAGAUCCCACCUAGACCACUUGGGCUCUAAAACCUGGGCCCAUUCUAUUAUUCUUUGCUGCCCAGGAAAAUUCUGGUUUAGCUCAGGAGGAAACAUCCACUGUCAACUCUGUUAUUCUACAUUGUCAGAUUCCCAUCUUUCCCCACCUCUCCCCACCUCCAAAACUUGGCUUGUGAAAUUUCCACUAGAAAAUAAAGCUGAAAGGAAACAGCUGUACUUCUCUGUGUCCACGCCAGGAACUCCAGCUCCCAGGCCCUCAAGCUUCCUCCCACAGAAUUGAGUGCAUGCGGUGUGGGCCAGGCCAUAGUGGCCUGAGCAUGUUGGGAACCGUUGCCGGUUCCUGUCCUUGGAUGUCUCAUUUGGUAAUUCUGACAGACUGAAAACCACACUCCCUGGUGACCAGCCUCAUAAAUCUGACCUGUGUGUUUAAUUGAGUUUGGUGAAACUUAGGGAUAUUGGCUCUCAUGAAGAACCUCCCACCCUACAAGGGAUUCCAGGUGUUGGCCCUGCCCUUUAGUCCUCCUCAGAUCUCUCCACACAGAGGGAGUCAAGCCUUCCUUAUCUUCCCCUUUUGGCCUUGGCUAUUUCUCAUACUUUCUGACACUCCCAUCAUAUUGGGUCACUGUGUUUCCCCCUCAUCAUCGCCUUACAGCAGUAAAAUGCCAAGAAACUUUCAAUUCUGUGUGGGGUGGGGAGAGAAUUAGUGAGUUGGGGGUAGGGUUUGGGAAGGCUUGAGGAAGGAGAGCUGGGAGGGAAGAGAGACAGCUCUGUUUCUUCUAACCUUUAACUUCAAUCAUGUCUUCAUUUACUUGAUAAUGCACAUAUAUUGGCUGGAUGAGGUGAUAUAGGAGGAGAAGGCCUGCUGAAGACAGAGACAGAGAUUGGAGUUAUGCAGCCUCAAGACAAGGAAGGCCUAGAACCACCAGGAGCUGGAAGAGGUUCCAGUGACUCUGCUGUCCACUACACCCCACCACUGCAGCCCAUCACUCAAGAGUGCCACAGCCUGUGGCAGGGACUGUCUUUCGGGGAUGAAGUUUCCACUGCUUGAAAGCAGAUUUGGAAGCAGAUGGAGAGCCAAGGAGCUUUGUUCUGCCCCAUUUUCAGCUUGGAGCUGGGCCCCGCCUGCCCUCCCAGGACAGAUGGUGUACCGCAAGGAUGAAGGUGGGGUGGGGACCGGACUCUGGAGACAACUUAGACUUUCCUUGUCAACACCUGGCCUUUAGGGCAUGGCGGUGGAAGACUCAUUUAUUCACUCAUUCAUUCAUUCAUCCGAAACUUUUUUUGUUGUGGUAAAUUACACAUAACAUAAAAUUCACCGUCUUAACCAUUUUAAAGUGUGCAAUUCAGUGGCAUUUAGUACAUUUACAAUGUCGUGCAGCCAUCACCACUGUCUAGUUCCAGAAUAUCUUCCUCCCCAGAGGAAACCCUGUAUCUGUGAAGUAGUCACUCCCCAUUCCCCUCUCCUCCCAGGGCCUGGCAACCACUACUUUACUUUUUGUCCCUAUGGACUUGCCUGUCCUGGAUAUUUUAUAUAAGUGGAAUCAUACAACAUGUGGCCUUCUGCAUCUGGCUUCUUUUACAGCAUAAUUCUUGUCAUAGCAUGUAUCAGUACUUCAUUCCUUUUCAUGACUAAAUAAUACUUCAUUGUAUGGAAGUACCAGAUUUUGUUUGUCCAUUCACUGUUUGAUGGACAUUUUGGGUUGUUUCCACCUUUUGGCUGUUAUGAAUAAUGCCGCUAUGAGCUUUCAUGUGCAAGUUUUUGUUUGAACACUUGUUUUCCUUUCUCUUGGGUCUAUAUUUAGGGGUGGCAUUGAUGGCUUUUGUGUGAACUAUACAUUUAACAUAUGAGGAACCGCCACACUGUUUUCCAAAGUGGCUGCAUCAUUUUACAUUCCCACCAGCAAUGAGGGCUCUAAUUUUUCUACAUCCUCGCCAACACUUGUUAUUUUUUCUUUUCUUUCUUUUUUUUGUUAUGUCGCCCAGGCUGGAGUGCAGUGACUACUCACAGGUGAGAUUAUGGCAUACUGAAGUCUUGAACUCCUGGGUUCAAGCAAUCCUCCUGCCUCAGCCUCCCAAGUAGCUGGGACUGCAGGCCUGCAGCACCACACCUGGCUACUUGGUGUCUUUUUGAUGAUAGCCAUCCUAGUAAUGUGAAGUGUUAUCAUUGUAGUUGUUUGAUACAUACUUUUGACCUUUACUGUGUUCCAGGCACCACGGUAGUCACUAGGAAGAUGGCAGAGAACAAAAUAGACAAAGCCCUUCCCUUCUGGAAGUUCUAUUCUAGUGAGAAAUGCUCUAGUAGAGUGGAGUUAAGAGGCCAGGCAGCAGGGACAUGAAUACAACUCGCUGCAGCUGGGAAAGCCGAAAGGCGUAUGCUUUAGGCUCUGCUAUUUCUCUUCAUCCUGGAAGAAUGGAGCAGAGUUUACAAACUCAAAGUCGAUGUACAGGACACGGCCAGAGUGAUGAGUGUGCACGCAGCAUGUGUGCAUGGUUGGAUUGGAGGGCGCCAGCCUUGCCUCAAGGGCAGAUGCUCCAUAGUACCGGCUUCUUACUACUGACUG
Molecule: long non-coding RNA, 2703 nt
Filed under: Homo sapiens (human)
Lineage: Eukaryota; Metazoa; Chordata; Mammalia; Primates; Hominidae
Description: HSALNT0141422
Source: RNAcentral